CGGGCGUAGGAUAUUUGAGAGGAGCUGUCCUUAGUACGAGAGGACCGGGAUGGACUGACCUCUGGUGUACCGGUUAGGUUGUCAAACCUAUGGCCGGGUAGCCAAGUCGGGAAGGGAUAAACGCUGAAGGCAUCUAAGCGUGAAGCCCCCCUCAAGAUGAGAUAUCCCAUCGCAAGAGUAAGACCCCUUGAAGACGACGAGGUAGAUAGGGCAGAGGUGGAAGUGCAGUAAUGUAUGGAGCUGACUGUUACUAAUCGGUCGAGGGCUUAUCCAA
This 274-nucleotide ribosomal RNA is filed under the name Lachnospiraceae bacterium. RNAcentral describes it as "partial 23S ribosomal RNA". It matches the Rfam family "Bacterial large subunit ribosomal RNA", at positions 2648 to 2925 of the family's 2925-position model. The record is from RNAcentral. Lineage: Bacteria; Bacillati; Bacillota; Clostridia; Lachnospirales; Lachnospiraceae.